GGGUUGUGAGGUUAAGCGACUAAGCGUACACGGUGGAUGCCCUGGCAGUCAGAGGCGAUGAAGGACGUGCUAAUCUGCGAUAAGCGUCGGUAAGGUGAUAUGAACCGUUAUAACCGGCGAUUUCCGAAUGGGGAAACCCAGUGUGAUUCGUCACACUAUCAUUAACUGAAUCCAUAGGUUAAUGAGGCGAACCGGGGGAACUGAAACAUCUAAGUACCCCGAGGAAAAGAAAUCAACCGAGAUUCCCCCAGUAGCGGCGAGCGAACGGGGAGGAGCCCAGAGCCUGAAUCAGUGUGUGUGUUAGUGGAAGCGUCUGGAAAGGCGCGCGAUACAGGGUGACAGCCCCGUACACAAAAAUGCACAUGCUGUGAGCUCGAUGAGUAGGGCGGGACACGUGGUAUCCUGUCUGAAUAUGGGGGGACCAUCCUCCAAGGCUAAAUACUCCUGACUGACCGAUAGUGAACCAGUACCGUGAGGGAAAGGCGAAAAGAACCCCGGCGAGGGGAGUGAAAAAGAACCUGAAACCGUGUACGUACAAGCAGUGGGAGCACAGAGCAAUCUGUGUGACUGCGUACCUUUUGUAUAAUGGGUCAGCGACUUAUAUUCUGUAGCAAGGUUAACCGAAUAGGGGAGCCGAAGGGAAACCGAGUCUUAACCGGGCGUUAAGUUGCAGGGUAUAGACCCGAAACCCGGUGAUCUAGCCAUUGGCAGGUUGAAGGUUGGGUAACACUAACUGGAGGACCGAACCGACUAAUGUUGAAAAAUUAGCGGAUGACUUGUGGCUGGGGGUGAAAGGCCAAUCAAACCGGGAGAUAGCUGGUUCUCCCCGAAAGCUAUUUAGGUAGCGCCUCGUGAAUUCAUCUCCGGGGGUAGAGCACUGUUUCGGCAAGGGGGUCAUCCCGACUUACCAACCCGAUGCAAACUGCGAAUACCGGAGAAUGUUAUCACGGGAGACACACGGCGGGUGCUAACGUCCGUCGUGAAGAGGGAAACAACCCAGACCGCCAGCUAAGGUCCCAAAGUCAUGGUUAAGUGGGAAACGAUGUGGGAAGGCCCAGACAGCCAGGAUGUUGGCUUAGAAGCAGCCAUCAUUUAAAGAAAGCGUAAUAGCUCACUGGUCGAGUCGGCCUGCGCGGAAGAUGUAACGGGGCUAAACCAUGCACCGAAGCUGCGGCAGCGACACUGUGUGUUGUUGGGUAGGGGAGCGUUCUGUAAGCCUGUGAAGGUGUGCUGUGAGGCAUGCUGGAGGUAUCAGAAGUGCGAAUGCUGACAUAAGUAACGAUAAAGCGGGUGAAAAGCCCGCUCGCCGGAAGACCAAGGGUUCCUGUCCAACGUUAAUCGGGGCAGGGUGAGUCGACCCCUAAGGCGAGGCCGAAAGGCGUAGUCGAUGGGAAACAGGUUAAUAUUCCUGUACUUGGUGUUACUGCGAAGGGGGGACGGAGAAGGCUAUGUUGGCCGGGCGACGGUUGUCCCGGUUUAAGCGUGUAGGCUGGUUUUCCAGGCAAAUCCGGAAAAUCAAGGCUGAGGCGUGAUGACGAGGCACUACGGUGCUGAAGCAACAAAUGCCCUGCUUCCAGGAAAAGCCUCUAAGCAUCAGGUAACAUCAAAUCGUACCCCAAACCGACACAGGUGGUCAGGUAGAGAAUACCAAGGCGCUUGAGAGAACUCGGGUGAAGGAACUAGGCAAAAUGGUGCCGUAACUUCGGGAGAAGGCACGCUGAUAUGUAGGUGAAGUCCCUCGCGGAUGGAGCUGAAAUCAGUCGAAGAUACCAGCUGGCUGCAACUGUUUAUUAAAAACACAGCACUGUGCAAACACGAAAGUGGACGUAUACGGUGUGACGCCUGCCCGGUGCCGGAAGGUUAAUUGAUGGGGUCAGCGCAAGCGAAGCUCUUGAUCGAAGCCCCGGUAAACGGCGGCCGUAACUAUAACGGUCCUAAGGUAGCGAAAUUCCUUGUCGGGUAAGUUCCGACCUGCACGAAUGGCGUAAUGAUGGCCAGGCUGUCUCCACCCGAGACUCAGUGAAAUUGAACUCGCUGUGAAGAUGCAGUGUACCCGCGGCAAGACGGAAAGACCCCGUGAACCUUUACUAUAGCUUGACACUGAACAUUGAGCCUUGAUGUGUAGGAUAGGUGGGAGGCUUUGAAGUGUGGACGCCAGUCUGCAUGGAGCCGACCUUGAAAUACCACCCUUUAAUGUUUGAUGUUCUAACGUGGACCCGUGAUCCGGGUUGCGGACAGUGUCUGGUGGGUAGUUUGACUGGGGCGGUCUCCUCCUAAAGAGUAACGGAGGAGCACGAAGGUUGGCUAAUCCUGGUCGGACAUCAGGAGGUUAGUGCAAUGGCAUAAGCCAGCUUGACUGCGAGCGUGACGGCGCGAGCAGGUGCGAAAGCAGGUCAUAGUGAUCCGGUGGUUCUGAAUGGAAGGGCCAUCGCUCAACGGAUAAAAGGUACUCCGGGGAUAACAGGCUGAUACCGCCCAAGAGUUCAUAUCGACGGCGGUGUUUGGCACCUCGAUGUCGGCUCAUCACAUCCUGGGGCUGAAGUAGGUCCCAAGGGUAUGGCUGUUCGCCAUUUAAAGUGGUACGCGAGCUGGGUUUAGAACGUCGUGAGACAGUUCGGUCCCUAUCUGCCGUGGGCGCUGGAGAACUGAGGGGGGCUGCUCCUAGUACGAGAGGACCGGAGUGGACGCAUCACUGGUGUUCGGGUUGUCAUGCCAAUGGCACUGCCCGGUAGCUAAAUGCGGAAGAGAUAAGUGCUGAAAGCAUCUAAGCACGAAACUUGCCCCGAGAUGAGUUCUCCCUGACCCUUUAAGGGUCCUGAAGGAACGUUGAAGACGACGACGUUGAUAGGCCGGGUGUGUAAGCGCAGCGAUGCGUUGAGCUAACCGGUACUAAUGAACCGUGAGGCUUAACCUUACAACGCCGAAGGUGUUU
This 2932-nucleotide ribosomal RNA is filed under the name Escherichia coli O157:H7. RNAcentral's name for it is "23S ribosomal RNA". It matches the Rfam family "Bacterial large subunit ribosomal RNA". The record is from RNAcentral. Lineage: Bacteria; Pseudomonadati; Pseudomonadota; Gammaproteobacteria; Enterobacterales; Enterobacteriaceae.